AGGAGCAUAGCUCAAUCGGUAGAGCACCGGUCUCCAAAACCGGGGGUUGGGGGUUCGAGUCCCUCUGCUCCUGCCA
Molecule: transfer RNA, 76 nt
Filed under: Alphaproteobacteria bacterium
Lineage: Bacteria; Pseudomonadati; Pseudomonadota; Alphaproteobacteria
Also listed under: 2 other names
Description: tRNA-Trp
Rfam family: tRNA
About the family: Transfer RNA (tRNA) molecules are approximately 80 nucleotides in length. Their secondary structure includes four short double-helical elements and three loops (D, anti-codon, and T loops).
Source: RNAcentral